Molecule: ribosomal RNA, 450 nt
Filed under: uncultured bacterium
Lineage: Bacteria
Description: bacterial SSU rRNA
Rfam family: Bacterial small subunit ribosomal RNA
Source: RNAcentral
GAAGCUCUUCGGAGUGUAAACCACUGUUGCCCGGGACGAAUAGCUCGAUUAAUCGAGCCUGACGGUACCGGGUGAGGAAGCACCGGCUAACUCCGUGCCAGCAGCCGCGGUAAUACGGNGGGUGCGAGCGUUGUCCGGAAUCACUGGGCGUAAAGGGCGCGUAGGUGGUUUGAUAAGGGUGUGGUGAAAGNCCGGGGCUCAACCCCGGAUCUGCCGUGCCGACUGUCANACUCGAGGACUGUAGAGGCAGACGGAAUUCCGGGUGUAGCGGUGGAAUGCGUAGAGAUCCGGAGGAAGACCGGUGGCGAAGGCGGUCUGCUGGGCAGUUUCUGACACUGAGGCGCGACAGCGUGGGGAGCAAACAGGAUUAGAUACCCUGGUAGUCCACGCCGUAAACGAUGGGUACUAGGUGCCUGGGGGAGCGACCCUCUGGGUGCCGGCGCUAACGCA